GACGAACGCUGGCGGCGUGCUUAACACAUGCAAGUCGAACGGAAAGGCCCUGCUUUUGUGGGGUGCUCGAGUGGCGAACGGGUGAGUAACACGUGAGUAACCUGCCCUUGACUGUGGGAUAACUUCAGGAAACUGGGGCUAAUACCGGAUAGGAGCUCCUGCUGCAUGGUGGGGGUUGGAGAGUUUCGGCGGUUGGGGAUGGACUCGCGGCUUAUCAGCUUGUUGGUGGGGUAGUGGCUUACCAAGGCUUUGACGGGUAGCAGGCCUGAGAGGGUGACCGGCCACAUUGGGACUGAGAUACGGCCCAGACGACUACGGGAGGCAGCAGUGGGGAAUAUUGCACCAUGGGCGGAAGCAGGAUGCAGCAACGCCGCGGGGGGGAUGAAGGCCUUCGGGUUGUAAACCGCUUUCGCCUGUGACGAAGCGUGAGUGACGGUAAUUGGUAAAGAAGCACCGGCUAACUACGUG
This 468-nucleotide ribosomal RNA is filed under the name uncultured bacterium. RNAcentral's name for it is "partial 16S ribosomal RNA". It matches the Rfam family "Bacterial small subunit ribosomal RNA", at positions 28 to 507 of the family's 1533-position model. The record is from RNAcentral.